AAGUAUAUGCAUAUUUUAUAUGUAGAAACUGCGAACGGCUCAUUAAAACAGUUAUAAUCUACUUGACAUUUUCUAUAUAAGGAUAACUACGGAAAAGCUGUAGCUAAUACUUGCUUUAACACUCUUGAUUUAUUUCUUGAGUGUGUACUUGUUAAGCCUUAUAAGAAAAGAGUUAUUAACUUAAGGAAUUAUAACAAAGAAGUAACACGUAAAUGGAUUUUCCAUUUUUUAGUGUGUAUCAAUCGAGUUUCUGACCUAUCAGCUUUUGAUGUUAGGGUAUUGGCCUAACAUGGCUAUGACGGGUAACGGGGAAUUAGAGUUCGAUUCCGGAGAGGGAGCCUGAGAAAUAGCUACCACAUCUAAGGAAGGCAGCAGGCGCGUAAAUUACCCAAUUCUAAAGAAGAGAGGUAGUGACAAGAAAUAACAAUACAAGGCCAAUCUGGCUUUGUAAUUGGAAUGAUGGGAAUUUAAAACCUUCCCAAAACUCAAUUGGAGGGCAAGUCUGGUGCCAGCAGCCGCGGUAAUUCCAGCUCCAAUAGCGUAUAUUAAAAUUGUUGCAGUUAAAACGCUCGUAGUUGAAUUUCAAAGAAUCGAUAUUUUAAGUAACGCUUUGUAGAUUAAUCCACAUAACUGAUACUACGUAUCGACUUUGUGCGCAUUUUUCUACUUAUGUGUUCUUUUAAUUAAAAUGAUUCUUUUUAAGAUCUUUCUUUUUUGCUUCGGCAUUUUAGGAGAUCUUGUUACUUUGAGUAAAUUAGAGUGUUCAAAGCAAACAGAUUAUAGCAUCUUUAUGCGUUUGAAUACUACAGCAUGGAAUAACAAAAUUGAACAAGUCAGAAUUUUGUUCUUUUUCUUAUUUUGGCUUAGUUACGAUUAAUAGGAGUAGCUUGGGGGCAUUUGUAUUCAGAUGUCAGAGGUGAAAUUCUUAGAUUUUCUGGAGACAAACAACUGCGAAAGCAUUUGCCUAAAAUACUUCCAUUAAUCAAGAACGAAAGUUAAGGGAGUGAAGACGAUCAGAUACCGUCGUAAUCUUAACCAUAAACUAUGCCGACUAGGCUUUGGAUGAAAGAUUUUAAAAUAAGAGUUUUUUCUCUGAGGAGUUAAAACUCUUAGAUUGCUUCCUUCAGUGCCUUAUGAGAAAUCAAAGUCUUUGGGUUCUGGGGCGAGUAUUCGCGCAAGCGAGAAAGUUAAAAGAAUUGACGGAAGGGCACCACCAGGCGUGGAGCUUGCGGCUUAAUUUGACUCAACACGGGAAAACUCACUAGUUUAAGACAAGAGUAGGAUUGACAGAUUAAUAGCUCUUUCUUGAUUUCUUGGAUGGUGAUGCAUGGCCGUUUUUAGUUCGUGAAUAUGAUUUGUCUGGUUAAUUCCGAUAACGAACGAGAUCUUAACCUGCUAAUUAGCGGCAAAUACGAUAUAUUCUUAUGUGGAAUUGAAUAUAGUUGAUUUGCUUAUUUUGAAGAAAAUAUUGGGAUACGUAAAUGUAUCCCUUUCCCUUUUCUACUUAAUUUGCUUAUCAUACUAUUUCUUUUAUGCGUAAGAAUGUAUUUGCUUGAUUGUAAAGCUUCUUAGAGGAACGAUGUGUGUCUAACACAAG
Molecule: ribosomal RNA, 1597 nt
Filed under: Plasmodium sp.
Lineage: Eukaryota; Apicomplexa; Aconoidasida; Haemosporida; Plasmodiidae
Description: SSU rRNA
Rfam family: Eukaryotic small subunit ribosomal RNA
Source: RNAcentral